AGUGAACGCUGGCGGUAGGCCUAACACAUGCAAGUCGAACGGCAGCGCAGUAAGAGCUUGCUCUUACGGGUGGCGAGUGGCGGACGGGUGAGGAAUACAUCGGAAUCUACUUUUUCGUGGGGGAUAACGUAGGGAAACUUACGCUAAUACCGCAUACGACCUACGGGUGAAAGCAGGGGAUCUUCGGACCUUGCGCGAUUGAAUGAGCCGAUGUCGGAUUAGCUAGUUGGCGGGGUAAAGGCCCACCAAGGCGACGAUCCGUAGCUGGUCUGAGAGGAUGAUCAGCCACACUGGAACUGAGACACGGUCCAGACUCCUACGGGAGGCAGCAGUGGGGAAUAUUGGACAGUGGGCGCAAGCCUGAUCCAGCCAUACCGCGUGGGUGAAGAAGGCCUUCGGGUUGUAAAGCCCUUUUGUUGGGAAAGAAAAGCAGCAGGUUAAUACCCCGCUGUUCUGACGGUACCCAAAGAAUAAGCACCGGCUAACUUCGU
Molecule: ribosomal RNA, 491 nt
Filed under: uncultured bacterium
Lineage: Bacteria
Description: partial 16S ribosomal RNA
Rfam family: Bacterial small subunit ribosomal RNA
Source: RNAcentral